GACGAACGCUGGCGGCGUGCUUAACACAUGCAAGUCGAACGGAAAGGCCCUGCUUUUGUGGGGUGCUCGAGUGGUGAACGGGUGAGUAACACGUGAGUAACCUGCCCUUGACUUUGGGAUAACUUCAGGAAACUGGGGCUAAUACCGGAUAGGAGCUCCUGCUGCAUGGUGGGGGUUGGAAAGUUUCGGCGGUUGGGGAUAGACUCGCGGCUUAUCAGCUUGUUGGUGGGGUAGUGGCUUACCAAGGCUUUGACGGGUAGCCGGCCUGAGAGGGUGACCGGCCACAUUGGGACUGAGAUACGGCCCAGACUCCUACGGGAGGCAGCAGUGGGGAAUAUUGCACAAUGGGCGGAAGCCUGAUGCAGCAACGCCGCGUGCGGGAUGACGGCCUUCGGGUUGUAAACCGCUUUCGCCUGUGACGAAGCGUGAGUGACGGUAAUGGGUAAAGAAGCACCGGCUAACUACGUG
This 468-nucleotide ribosomal RNA is filed under the name uncultured bacterium. Its description in RNAcentral is "partial 16S ribosomal RNA". It matches the Rfam family "Bacterial small subunit ribosomal RNA", at positions 28 to 507 of the family's 1533-position model. The record is from RNAcentral.